GGAUUUAGUCCAGGCUACCACAUUGCACUUGGCUACCUCAUUUCCACAGUCUUAGAGGAGAGAACUUCUAAGAUGAGGAGUCUGGCUUCCCAGCCGCUGGACCGAGCUCCAGGAGGAAGAGGCUGAGGCUGAGAACAUGCAGCGUGGGCCCCUAACCUCCUGCCAGAAGGUCCACGGCAUGCCAAAUGGUGCCAUGUCCUCACCUGGGAUCCGAACCAGCAAACCCCGGGCUGCCGAAAUGGAGUGUGCGCACUUAACUACUGCACCACCGGGCGGGCCCCUGACUGCCUUUUUUAAAGGAAGAAGAGACUGGAACUCACAUUUGAUGCCUGGAUUUGUCUUAGUCGGGCCUUUCGAAUCCACUCCUACAGGCUUUCCAUCUGUGCAUUCCUCUUUCGGCUAUAAGACCUUCUGGAAAGCAGGAGAAUCUGUAAAGGAAACAAACAGGAAAUGGGUUAGUGGAUUCUGCUGUAGUCUUCAGCUGUCAUAUUCUGUUUGAUUCUCGUGUCGCUUUGAAAAAGGAUAUUACCACUUAGAUGAAGUCCACAGGCAAUCUCUUCAAGCCAUAUUUCCUGUCUGCAUAACCCCAGACAGUUUGCGAAACACUUAAUGUUGUUCUACUGUCGAUCCACACAACUGUGUGAUAUAGGCAGGCACCUUAGUUUUUCUUGGAGAUCUUUGUUUUAUUAGGGACUUUUGUAUUUUAUUAGAAGACAGCACAGGCAGCAUGAGGACUCUUUCUGCCAUCCUAUACAUUUGGUUUCUCAAGCUCAGUGGUCCUCAGAGUAGUCCCUGGACCACAGCAUCCGCAACACUCGGAACCUGUUAGAUAUGAAAAUUCUCUGACCCCAAGCCUACUGGAUCAGAAGCUCUGGGGAUGGGGCCCAGGAACCUAUGUUGUAACAACCCCUCCAGAUGAUUCUGAUGCACACUCGAGUUUGAUGCACUGCACCGUUUGCAACUCUUAUAGAAGGAAAAAUCACGAAGAAAGCUGAGAUGACCUAGAGAUACAUGUGAUGUCAGCCGUGGAAGGUUUGAAAGAUGUGCGUGUAAAAGAUGGAGCAGAUUUGUUCAGCACUGCUUUAAAGGUUUUUCAACCAACUUAAGAAAGAAGAUUUCAAGAAAGAGCCCUUCUAAUUUGAAUGUUUUGGGAGACAUAUCUGAUCACUAGAGAGAGUCAAGCAGAGAGACCUAAGGCCCAUCCAUGCCCCCAGAGUAGGGCAGGAGAAAUUCUUGUAUUAGGUGGAUGCAGUUGGAGUUUUAGGGGGUGACUAAAUAAAUUUUUCCUUCCUGUGUUUGGAAGCAAUUGAGAAAUAAGAAAGAGGGGUUAGAUAAAGGAGAUCAAAUUUCAUUGUUGGUAAAGCCUCCUCGUUAGAGCGGUGGAGUGGAUUCCGGCUUCUAGUGACCCUGGGUACAUCAGAGUAGAACCCUGCCCGGUCUUUUUGCACCAUCCUCUCACCUUCCAGCGCUAUAUCAGACAGUGCUCUGCUGCUAUUCAUAGGGUUCUCAUGGCCAAUUUUUCUGGAAGUGGUUAGCCAGGUCCUUCUUCCUAGUCUGUCUUAGUCUGGAAGCUCUGCUGAAACCUGUCCACCAUGGGUGACCCAGCUGGUAUUUGAAAUCCCAGUGGCAUAGCUUUCAGCAUCUCAGCAACACGCAGCCGCCACGGAAUGACAACCAACAGACAGGUGGUGUGGUUCCCUGACCAGGAAACAAACCCCAGACAUGGUGGUGAGACCAUCGGAUCUUAACUACUGGAUCACCAGGGCUGGCUUCAUAAAGAGAAUAUGUAGAGAACAUGUGUGUUCUAGAUUUUUUUUUUCCCAUAAAGGAGUGUGUAACAAACCACUCCCAAAUAGUGACUUAAAAUGAUACCAAACAUUUAUUUGUUCUUUAUGUGGGAAUUGGCUGGGCUCAUCUAGCUAAGUUUCACCCAGGUCUCUCAUGUGGGUGCAGUCAAGUGGCGGCCG
Molecule: long non-coding RNA, 1967 nt
Organism: Equus caballus (horse)
Lineage: Eukaryota; Metazoa; Chordata; Mammalia; Perissodactyla; Equidae
Source: Ensembl